Ctenopharyngodon idella (grass carp) is the source of this 451-nucleotide long non-coding RNA. RefSeq lists it as uncharacterized. The record is from RefSeq and is a predicted model, not a curated record. The transcript has 3 exons. Lineage: Eukaryota; Metazoa; Chordata; Actinopteri; Cypriniformes; Xenocyprididae.
CAGACACCCGGUUAGGAACCAGACGGGGAUGAAGCUUUAAUCUUCUAAUCUUCUGCUAGUAAAUACACUGGCAUCAACAAGCUCCAAGUCCAAGAUCAGAAAGCAAAUGCCUUCAUCAAGAAAAAUGCAGAUUUCCUGAACACGCCUUCUGUCUGCCAUUGGUCAGCCUAACAGAUGGCCCAGCCCCAAACUACUCACCAUUGGUGGAGGUGUGGAAUUGGAUAUGCCAAGAUGAUUCCAGACACUAUUUACUCAACUGCUGUGUCCUAACCCUAAUGUCUGAUUCUUGACAUGAUCCAUGUUAAUGCUGACAAAUGACCCUCGGAACAGGAAGUUGGAGAAACGCUGACCUGGGGGAGAUUUCUGUACAUUACAAAUUACAAUUUAUGAAUAAAUCAUCCAUAAGUCAUUUGUCUUGCAAAGUAUGGAAAAUGAUUGGAUCCACUUUAUA